GCAUUAGUAGCUCAGUCUCAGAGCUCCGGUCUUGUAAGCCGGCUGCCGAAGGUUAAACUCCCUCCUACUGCU
Molecule: transfer RNA, 72 nt
Filed under: Melanotaenia boesemani (Boeseman's rainbowfish)
Lineage: Eukaryota; Metazoa; Chordata; Actinopteri; Atheriniformes; Melanotaeniidae
Description: tRNA-Thr
Rfam family: tRNA
About the family: Transfer RNA (tRNA) molecules are approximately 80 nucleotides in length.
Source: RNAcentral